GACGAACGCUGGCGGCGUGCUUAACACAUGCAAGUCGAACGGAAAGGCCCUGCUUUUGUGGGGUGCUCGAGUGGCGAACGGGUGAGUAACCCGUGAGUAACCUGCCUUUGCUUUUGGGAUAACUUCAGGAAACUGGGGUUAAUACCGGAUAGGAGUUCCUGCUGCAUGGUGGGGGUUGGAAAGUUUCGGCGGUUGGGGAUGGACUCGCGGCUUAUCAGCUUGUUGGUGGGGUAGUGGCUUACCAAGGCUUUGACGGGUAGCCGGCCUGAGAGGGUGACCGGCCACAUUGGGACUGAGAUACGGCCCAGACUCCUACGGGAGGCAGCAGUGGGGAAUAUUGCACAAUGGGCGGAAGCCUGAUGCAGCAACGCCGCGUGCGGGAUGACGGCCUUCGGGUUGUAAACCGCUUUCGCCUGUGACGAAGCGUGAGUGACGGUAAUGGGUAAAGAAGCACCGGCUAACUACGUG
RNAcentral lists this ribosomal RNA (468 nucleotides) under uncultured bacterium. RNAcentral describes it as "partial 16S ribosomal RNA". It matches the Rfam family "Bacterial small subunit ribosomal RNA", at positions 28 to 507 of the family's 1533-position model. The record is from RNAcentral.